AGUGAACGCUGGCGGUAGACCUAACACAUGCAAGUCGAACGGCAGCACAGUAAGAGCUUGCUCUUACGGGUGGCGAGUGGCGGACGGGUGAGGAAUACAUCGGAAUCUACUUUUUCGUGGGGGAUAACGUAGGGAAACUUACGCUAAUACCGCAUACGACCUACGGGUGAAAGCAGGGGAUCUUCGGACCUUGCGCGACUGAAUGAGCCGAUGUCGGAUUAGCUAGUUGGCGGGGUAAAGGCCCACCAAGGCGACGAUCCGUAGCUGGUCUGAGAGGAUGAUCAGCCACACUGGAACUAAGACACGGUCCAGACUCCUACGGGGGGCACCAGUGGGGAAUAUUGGACAAUGGGCGCAAGCCUGAUCCAGCCAUACCGCGUGGGUGAAGAAGGCCUUCGGGUUGUAAAGCCCUUUUGUUGGGAAAGAAAAGCAGCAGGUUAAUACCCCGCUGUUCUGACGGUACCCAAAGAAUAAGCACCGGCUAACCUCGUG
RNAcentral lists this ribosomal RNA (492 nucleotides) under uncultured bacterium. Its description in RNAcentral is "partial 16S ribosomal RNA". It matches the Rfam family "Bacterial small subunit ribosomal RNA", at positions 29 to 507 of the family's 1533-position model. The record is from RNAcentral.